UCGAGCGAGUCUGCCUUGAAGAUCGGAGUGCUUGCACUCUGUGAAACAAGAUACAGGCUAGCGGCGGACGGGUGAGUAACACGUGGGUAACCUGCCCAAGAGAUCGGGAUAACACCUGGAAACAGAUGCUAAUACCGGAUAACAACAGAUGAUGCCUAUCAACUGUUUAAAAGAUGGUUCUGCUAUCACUCUUGGAUGGACCUGCGGUGCAUUAGCUAGUUGGUAGGGUAACGGCCUACCAAGGCGAUGAUGCAUAGCCGAGUUGAGAGACUGAUCGGCCACAUUGGGACUGAGACACGGCCCAAACUCCUACGGGAGGCAGCAGUAGGGAAUCUUCCACAAUGGACGCAAGUCUGAUGGAGCAACGCCGCGUGAGUGAAGUAGGGUUUCGGCUCGUAAAGCUCUGUUGUUGGUGAAGAAGGACAGGGGUAGUAACUGACCUUUGUUUGACGGUAAUCAAUUAGAAAGUCACGGCUAACUACGUGCCAGCAGCCGCGGUAAUACGUAGGUGGCAAGCGUUGUCCGGAUUUAUUGGGCGUAAAGCGAGUGCAGGCGGUUCGAUAAGUCUGAUGUGAAAGCCUUCGGCUCAACCGGAGAAUUGCAUCAGAAACUGUCGAGCUUGAGUACAGAAGAGGAGAGUGGAACUCCAUGUGUAGCGGUGAAAUGCGUAGAUAUAUGGAAGAACACCGGUGGCGAAGGCGGCUCUCUGGUCUGUUACUGACGCUGAGGCUCGAAAGCAUGGGUAGCGAACAGGAUUAGAUACCCUGGUAGUCCAUGCCGUANACGAUGAGUGCUAAGUGUUGGGAGGUUUCCGCCUCUCAGUGCUGCAGCUAACGCAUUAAGCAC
RNAcentral lists this ribosomal RNA (846 nucleotides) under uncultured bacterium. Its description in RNAcentral is "bacterial SSU rRNA". It matches the Rfam family "Bacterial small subunit ribosomal RNA", at positions 62 to 867 of the family's 1533-position model. The record is from RNAcentral.